GAAACUGCGAAUGGCUCAUUAAAUCAGUUAUCGUUUAUUUGAUAGUACCUUACUACAUGGAUACCUGUGGUAAUUCUAGAGCUAAUACAUGCUAAAAACCCCGACUUCAGGAAGGGGUGUAUUUAUUAGAUAAAAAACCAACGCCCUUCGGGGCUCCUUGGUGAAUCAUAAUAACUUAACGAAUCGCAUGGCCUUGCGCCGGCGAUGGUUCAUUCAAAUUUCUGCCCUAUCAACUUUCGAUGGUAGGAUAGUGGCCUACCAUGGUGGCAACGGGUAACGGGGAAUUGGGGUUCGAUUCCGGAGAGGGAGCCUGAGAAACGGCUACCACAUCCAAGGAAGGCAGCAGGCGCGCAAAUUACCCAAUCCCGAUACGGGGAGGUAGUGACAAUAAAUACUGAUACGGGGCUCUUUUGGGUCUCGUAAUUGGAAUGAGAACAAUUUAAAUCCCUUAAUGAGGAACAAUUGGAGGGCAAGUCUGGUGCCAGCAGCCGCGGUAAUUCCAGCUCCAAUAGCGUAUAUUAAAGUUGUUGCAGUUAAAAAGCUCGUAGUUGAACCUUGGCCCUGGCUGGCCGGUCCGCCUCAC
Molecule: ribosomal RNA, 583 nt
Filed under: uncultured fungus
Lineage: Eukaryota; Fungi
Description: SSU rRNA
Rfam family: Eukaryotic small subunit ribosomal RNA
Source: RNAcentral